UAAUUACCCAGGAGUGAAAUUCCCUGGUGACGUGAUUGAUUAACUUCAAGGUCAUGGUUUGUUAUUUAAAUUUUUUUGCUCGAGUAAAAAUUAGCUAGGAGCGGGGGCUCCCGAUUGUGUCUUCGGUCAUUCAUAACAAUGGCGGCAUUGAAAGCAAGUGUUUGCUGGUGAUGUCUUGUCUCUUGUCUUGUGUGUGACUUGUUACUGGUUCUAAUAAUAUUUUAUUGAAAGCUGCGCUACAUCUGUACGGAUACUGAAUCUAUGGAUAUUAAUAGCUGUUAUUAAAUAACCGGGAGUUUAGUCUGGUAAUAUUUAAUAUUUAAUACUCAGCACACAUUACAUCUGCGAGUGUGCUAAUACACAUACAGAUUUAAUGCUGAAUUAUUCCUAAGCUAGUUUGUUUGGAUAUAUACCUAUAAUAACAAGUGCCUUAAUUCGUUUACAUCUUCACGUCAUGGAGGAGAGCAGAAUGGAAAGCAUGUCAUCUGGACGUCCAGACAAAUCAUCAAGCUCGUCUAGAAGACACCGCAAGCGAGCGAACAAGAAAAGCCAUGUCACCAAGGUCGACAAUUGGUGCAGCGAGACCCCAACGGAGAUUAGCGAGCCGAUGAUCAACCCGGGAGUUGAUUACGCGCCGAUGUUUUGGCAGCAACCAGCAGCAACGGUUGCUCCACAUGUGGCACCAAUGCGCAACGGCCAGAGACUCUUCACGACGAUGUCUGACCCCAGUGUUUGUGGCUACUCGACGCUGCCCGUCGCUUACGCGAUGGAGCCGGUCUCGAUGCCGCCAAUCUACCCGCUGUACAGGCCAGUUCCACAGACAAACUACCGACCACCCAGAGGAAGGCCCAGGAGAAACAUUCCCCAGCAUCAAGGUCAUUCACAGUCUCACCAGGGUAUCAGUAACAUCAGCAGCGUGAAUAACGUCGCCAAUGGGUACUCGAGUCUCCAGGAAAACAGGACCGGCUACUCGACUUUAUAUCAGAAUGGAGAUUACACUUCACUGCCUCCAUCUGCGAACAAUCACAUUGUUGCUGAGAGUGAUGACUUGAACUCUGAGCACAGGAGGUACUCAGACCCUGGGCUAGGUCCUACUGAUCUGCCGGCGUAUACUGACAGUGAAGACUCUGAUUCUGGUGGUAGUUCCAGUUCUGUUACGACUGUGGAGAAAAAUAAACUUGUUUUGUCUUUGGUUGAGCAGAUGACUACACUACGAGAAGCAAAUAGCCAGAUGUUUGAACAACUUAACGAAACAAAACUGGCAUUAGAAAACGUGACUACGGAAUUAGCCGAAAUAAAACAAAACUCUUCUUCAGAUUAUCAGCCAGGAAUGUUAUCAGAAAUUAUUAGCGAGAUUCGACAAGCAAAUAAGGCGCUAGAUGAAACAAUUGAUGCGAGAAUAAAGUUGAUAGUUGAAGAGAAAACCCGACAAAAACUACUAGAGCUUGACGACCUCAAGGGACAACUGGCCCAAAUGACUGAGCAAAAGGCCAAAGGAGAUAGACGAAUUGCCAUCUUGGAGGAGGAGGUUGCUAGUCUUAAAAUUAAUGCUUCCAACGUCGUGGGUCAUGAGAUCGCAGCCUUUGAGGAAGAAGCCCUGGCUCUUCGACGGGAGCUUCAGGAAGCGAGGGCAAAAAACGCCGAGCAUCAAGAGGCUAAGUGCGUAGAAGCAUCAUCGAUAGCGAGAGCUAUCAAGCCUUUAUCUUUCGAAACACCCUGUAUAACCAGCACCCCCGUGCGUACCAACUUCCACGAGCUGAAUAAGAGCUCAAGCUCCAUUCCAGCCUCAGCCUCAUCUUCUUCCUCGACUUCGACCGUCUCGUCCCCCUCACCUCUGUCCCCCUCCGACUCGUCGAGGAAUCUGGACCAGGUCGACCAAGACUGGCAGUGGAAGAAGUUCACUGGUCCUGAUACCGAGCCGCUCGCGGAUCCAGUGCCGUUGACCGACGGAAGAACCAAAGAAAAAGAGUCCAAUGGAAAUAAUUACUGGAAGAACAGAGGCUCUGACGCUUCCAUGCGGCCUGAUGAAAGAGAAGCUUUUGAGAGACUGCUCCACUUCCACUUUGAAAGAGACUCGGUUCCUGCGAACAAUUUCCAGCGCUCAGCAGUCGUCAGACGCAAGAGCGACGUCACGAAUAACUCCAGAAAAGCGUCCCAGUUUUCCUGCUUCAGAGCCGCUUCUACCAAUUCGCUUCCUCUGGAGGACAAAGAAGAAUCUGAAAGAUCAGAUAAAAAUCAAGAAAAUGGUGUUGAGGUUCCGGACGUCGUGGUGGUUCCUGGAAAAUCAGUGGUACCUAAAAAUUUGUGCUCGACGAGAAUCCCGAAUUCCAGUGUCCUCAAAGCACCCUCACGCGCCACUUUUACCACCGCCUAUAUUUAGGUUACGUACGGGGCCACUCAAUAUUCAAUUCAAUAUUUAUUGUGCCAUCACAAACUGGGGCUUCAUUGUUUGGGGUUUACUUCUGUACAAACUUCACACGAGGAUUAAGGGAAGAAAGAGAGGAAAAGAAGGUAACCGGAAACGUGAUUUAUCAGACUGGAGAAGCUGGUGGCGGCAAUGCGUAAAAAGGUGAUCAUUUCAACAUCAGAGCAUCA
This is an RNA transcript of Cotesia glomerata, 2595 nucleotides long. RefSeq lists it as uncharacterized. The transcript is spliced from 7 exons. NCBI's taxonomy places the organism in Eukaryota, Metazoa, Arthropoda, Insecta, Hymenoptera, Braconidae. The record is from RefSeq and is a predicted model, not a curated record.